UUUUGAUGCGGAGAAUCCAAAAAUGCAAGUCUCAACUUUAGGAAUUCAGUGGUUAAAAAGUUAUAAGCGUGUAAAGUUUGACAUUUUUAGCGGAUUUGUUACGUUACUGUGACGCCAUAUUGACUUCUUGUCCAAUGAACGGUGUCGCUAGCUGUAGGCAGAUUCACGUGGGUGCCGACUACUUUGGCGGCUAGUGAUGGGACUCAUACCCAGCAAAUAGAGUCAAAUUGGCGGCCGGCGAAGGACUGGAUGAGGGGGAGGGGUCGUUUUCACGAUGAGGAAUUUGCCGAUCGCUUAUGCGAAUAUCUGUGGCGACGGUUUUGCCGUCACAACAACAUAGACCUCAUGGGAUCAAUGAUGGAAGCGAUUCGGAAACAAUAUGUUUUUAAUUAAGAUUCUACGCAUCAAAAACUAUAGAUUCAAAAAAAAAAGGUCCAAAAUUUUGG
Molecule: long non-coding RNA, 446 nt
Organism: Osmia lignaria (orchard mason bee)
Lineage: Eukaryota; Metazoa; Arthropoda; Insecta; Hymenoptera; Megachilidae
Source: RefSeq, a predicted model, not a curated record